UUUUCACAAGAAUUUUAAAUUUCAGCUGCGAACCAUAUCGACGCAUCUUUACAUGCCAGACCAUCGACAUCGAACAGUGUAGCUGCAAACCAGAUUCAAAUCAGAUCUACACAUGCCAGAGUACCUCUGUCAACAUCAAACAGUGAAAAUGCACAAACUUCAGCUGCUGCAUCUACGAGUACAGGCCAAGCUUGUCUGCAAUCUGGAAUAAGCAUGCGACCGGAUAAAGCGUCAAUACCAGCGAAACGCCCCCGCUUUGCUGACGAACAACGUGGCGGAUCUAGGGAUACUCUAGUUCUUGCUUCUGAUAAUCGAAAAACGCAGCGAGCAAUUCAAAAGACUAGAUUACAAUACAACGAAGAAAGAAUUGCUGAAGAAGCUCAACCUGAAGUGGAAUCGAGUUUACUUUAUUAACCUUUUGCCUAAUAGGUAACUUAAGGACUUAAUCCAGAUAAAUUGUUUUUAAAUCCAUCUUUAAAACAUGGUAUCAAAGAGAAUUUUAAAUAGAGAGUUACUGUCAUGAUGGUAAAUUAUGUAGGUAUAGUUGGUCAAGCAGAUCUAGUCAGUAGAAAAAGGCGGCAAAUUUGAAAAAUGUAGGCGCGAAGGGAUAUCGUCUCAUAGAAAAUUUUAAUUUCGCGCCUUUUUCUACUGACAAGAUUUGCUUGACCGUCUAUAGCUACAGUACUUCCAUUUGCUGCCAACUUCCGACAGAAAAUUAAACCUGUUAAAACGCCAUUUGACUUUGAUCAUUAAUUAUUCUUUCACUGAUAUCACAAAUAAGUAAUAGUACC
This is a long non-coding RNA of Cydia fagiglandana, 791 nucleotides long. RefSeq lists it as uncharacterized. Lineage: Eukaryota; Metazoa; Arthropoda; Insecta; Lepidoptera; Tortricidae. The transcript has 5 exons. The record is from RefSeq and is a predicted model, not a curated record.